This 497-nucleotide ribosomal RNA is filed under the name uncultured bacterium. RNAcentral describes it as "partial 16S ribosomal RNA". It matches the Rfam family "Bacterial small subunit ribosomal RNA", at positions 28 to 507 of the family's 1533-position model. The record is from RNAcentral.
GAUGAACGCUGGCGGCGUGCCUAAUACAUGCAAGUCGAGCGAACAGACGAGGAGCUUGCUCCUCUGACGUUAGCGGCGGACGGGUGAGUAACACGUGGAUAACCUACCUAUAAGACUGGGAUAACUUCGGGAAACCGGAGCUAAUACCGGAUAAUACAUUGAACCGCAUGGUUCAAUAGUGAAAGACGGUUUUGCUGUCACUUAUAGAUGGAUCCGCGCCGCAUUAGCUAGUUGGUAAGGUAACGGCUUACCAAGGCAACGAUGCGUAGCCGGCCUGAGAGGGUGAUCGGCCACACUGGAACUGAGACACGGUCCAGACUCCUACGGGAGGCAGCAGUAGGGAAUCUUCCGCAAUGGGCGAAAGCUUGACGGAGCAACGCCGCGUGAGUGAUGAAGGUCUUCGGAUCGUAAAACUCUGUUAUUAGGGAAGAACAAAUGUGUAAGUAACUAUGCACGUCUUGACGGUACCUAAUCAGAAAGCCACGGCUAACUACGUG